This 440-nucleotide ribosomal RNA is filed under the name uncultured bacterium. Its description in RNAcentral is "partial 16S ribosomal RNA". It matches the Rfam family "Bacterial small subunit ribosomal RNA", at positions 338 to 795 of the family's 1533-position model. The record is from RNAcentral.
CCUACGGGUGGCAGCAGUGGGGGAUAUUGCACAAUGGGGGAAACCCUGAUGCAGCGACGCCGCGUGAGUGAAGAAGUAUUUCGGUACGUAAAGCUCUAUCAGCAGGGAAGAAAAUGACAGUACCUGACCAAGAAGCCCCGGCUAACUACGUGCCAGCAGCCGCGGUAAUACGUAGGGGGCAAGCGUUAUCCGGAUUUACUGGGUGUAAAGGGAGCGUAGACGGUUAUGUAAGUCUGGAGUGAAAGCCCGGGGCCCAACCCCGGGACUGCUUUGGAAACUGUGUAACUGGAGUGCAGGAGGGGCAAGCGGAAUUCCUGGUGUAGCGGUGAAAUGCGUAGAUAUCAGGAGGAACACCGGCGGCGAAGGCGGCCUGCUGGACUGAAACUGACGUUGAGGCUCGAAAGCGUGGGGAGCAAACAGGAUUAGAUACCCUAGUAGUC